Long non-coding RNA from Apteryx owenii (little spotted kiwi), 692 nucleotides. The record is from Ensembl. Lineage: Eukaryota; Metazoa; Chordata; Aves; Apterygiformes; Apterygidae.
AUAGCACCCCUGCCUCACCCUAACAAGACAGUAUUGCAUUGGUAGUUGCUUGCAUCGAACAGGGGAAUGAUGUGCCCAUCUCCCAGACAGCUCUCUUGUCAGAGCACACUCAGUGUCGCUGCAAAUCCUGUGUCCUGAAAGUCUCUUUCCAUACCUUCAGGUACUGCCAGGAGAGACCCAGCCUCGGAGAGGCUCCACCGCAUGUCGGCAGAGCCGGGAUGCUGAGCACCUCUGCCCGCGCUGGCUCUCACUGGCGCAGAGCAAAUGACUCUGCUCACGUUCAGCAGCUCAUCAGACUGCAGCGACUCAGUCCCGUGGCCAAGUGUGACAGCAUGUGUGUGCCACGUGGGGACAUGCAGCAGGAAAACGUAACGCCAGGGAAAAUAAGGAAAAGCAGCUUCCCCCAGUCAUCUGGAGACGCCCUGCAGAUGCCCCAUCCCUGCUCUCUGCCCUGCUGCACUCCAGCCCCAGGGCCUGAGAUAGCCUGGCGUCUCCAGGAGAGGAGAAAGUUAAUCUCCCCUGCGCACACUGGAGGCACGGGACCUCUCACUGCUGGACCGCCGUGGUGGUACCCAGAGGCACCUUCCUGCACGCUGAGCCUCGCUGCCGUGAUGCGUUUGGGGAGAGGCUGCAAAUCUGCACUGCGCAAGUGUCCUGCAGCUCUUGGAGUGGUGUCUUUUCCCCUUUGCUGA